CGCGGUAAUUUGACCGUGCGAAGGUAGCAUAAUCAAUAGUCUUUUAAUUGGAGGCUUGAAUGAAUGGUUGGACGAGGGAUAAGCUGUCUCUUUUGGCGUAUGUUGAAUUUGACUUUUAAGUGAAAAGGCUUAAAUUAAUUAGAGGGACGAUAAGACCCUAUAAAACUUAAUACAGAUUUGGCUUGGUUUGUGAUUUGUGUGAAAAGUAGUCUUGUUUAGUUUGUAUUUCGUUGGGGCGACGAAGAUAUAAAAUGUAACUGUCUUUAAAAUUUAAUAGUGUUAGUUAGUAUUUGAUCCUUCUUUGUGGAUUAAAAGAAUAAGUUACUUUAGGGAUAACAGCGUAAUUUUUUUUGAGAGUUCUUAUCGACAAAAGUAGUUGCGACCUCGAUGUUGAAUUAAAGUUUCAGUUAGGUGUAGCCGUUUAACUGGUAAGUCUGUUCGACUUUUAAAACUUU
This 455-nucleotide ribosomal RNA is filed under the name Leptopalaemon gibbosus. RNAcentral describes it as "partial 16S ribosomal RNA". It matches the Rfam family "Bacterial large subunit ribosomal RNA", at positions 1932 to 2597 of the family's 2925-position model. The record is from RNAcentral. Lineage: Eukaryota; Metazoa; Arthropoda; Malacostraca; Decapoda; Palaemonidae.